This 296-nucleotide long non-coding RNA is filed under the name Phoenix dactylifera (date palm). RNAcentral describes it as "long non-coding RNA (PDAC_LNC008322)". Lineage: Eukaryota; Viridiplantae; Streptophyta; Magnoliopsida; Arecales; Arecaceae. The record is from RNAcentral.
GAAUUGGUCACGUUUAGUGAAAUGUACUUCUACACUUCACUUGUGUGGCAUACCAGUGUCUCCACACUCCUUGGUUAAGAGGACAACCAACGUAUAUGUCACACAACGACCUAAUCUCGAUAAUGUUGUCGUCCUAGUAACAACAUAUCAUUUCGUCGCAAACAAGUUUAAGGACUCAAAGAUAAAUCCUCCUUUAUCAUAACAUAAGUCCUAAGGACUUCAUCAUAUAAGAGUUCAUUUGAAGAUGAAAUGAUGAAUAAUGCCAAAUAACACUUUAUUAAUUUGUCAAUUCAUUU